This 65-nucleotide transfer RNA is filed under the name Myxococcota bacterium. RNAcentral's name for it is "tRNA-Ile". It matches the Rfam family "tRNA", at positions 5 to 66 of the family's 71-position model. From Rfam's summary of the family: Transfer RNA (tRNA) molecules are approximately 80 nucleotides in length. Their secondary structure includes four short double-helical elements and three loops (D, anti-codon, and T loops). Further hydrogen bonds mediate the characteristic L-shaped molecular structure. tRNAs have two regions of fundamental functional importance: the anti-codon, which is responsible for specific mRNA codon recognition, and the 3' end, to which the tRNAs corresponding amino acid is attached (by aminoacyl-tRNA synthetases). tRNAs cope with the degeneracy of the genetic code in two manners: having more than one tRNA (with a specific anti-codon) for a particular amino acid; and 'wobble' base-pairing, i.e. permitting non-standard base-pairing at the 3rd anti-codon position. The record is from RNAcentral. Lineage: Bacteria; Pseudomonadati; Myxococcota.
GGAUAGCUCAUCUGGUAGAGCGCUAGCUUGAUAAGCUGGAGGCAGCGGGUUCGAUUCCCGUUCCA